RNAcentral lists this ribosomal RNA (205 nucleotides) under uncultured bacterium. RNAcentral's name for it is "partial 16S ribosomal RNA". It matches the Rfam family "Bacterial small subunit ribosomal RNA", at positions 568 to 774 of the family's 1533-position model. The record is from RNAcentral.
CACGUAGGCGGAUUUUUAAGUCAGGGGUGAAAUCCUGGAGCUCAACUCCAGAACUGCCUUUGAUACUGGGAAUCUCGAGUCCGGGAGAGGUGAGUGGAACUGCGAGUGUAAGGUGAAAUUCGUAGAUAUUCGCAAGAACACCAGUGGCGAAGGCGGCUCACUGGCCCGGUACUGACGCUGAGGUGCGAAAGCGUGGGAGCAAACA